This 274-nucleotide ribosomal RNA is filed under the name uncultured bacterium. Its description in RNAcentral is "partial 16S ribosomal RNA". It matches the Rfam family "Bacterial small subunit ribosomal RNA", at positions 523 to 796 of the family's 1533-position model. The record is from RNAcentral.
ACACGUAGGGGGCAAGCGUUGUCCGGAUUUAUUGGGCCUAAAGCAUCCGUAGCCGGCUCUGUAAGUUUUCGGUUAAAUCUGUACGCUUAACGUACAGGCUGCUGGGAAUACUGCAGAGCUAGGGAGUGGGAGAGGUAGACGGUACUCGGGAGGAAGUGGUAAAAUGCUUUGAUCUCUCGAUGACCACCUGUGGCGAAGGCGGUCUACCAGAACACGUCCAACGGUGAGGGAUGAAAGCUGGGGGAGCAAACCGGAUUAGAAACCCGGGUAGUCC